GACGAACCGUCCAAACGUUAUUCGGAAUUACUGGGCUUAAAGGGUGCGUAGGCGGCGCGGUAAGUUGGGUGUGAAAUCCCUCGGCUCAACCGAGGAAUUGCGCCCAAUACUGUCGUGCUCGAGGGAGGCAGAGGUGAGCGGAACUGAUGGUGGAGCGGUGAAAUGCGUUGAUAUCAUCAGGAACACCAGUGGCGAAAGCGGCUCACUGGGCCUUUUUCUGACGCUGAGGCACGAAAGCUAGGGGAGCAAACGGG
RNAcentral lists this unclassified non-coding RNA (254 nucleotides) under uncultured Pirellulaceae bacterium. Its description in RNAcentral is "contains 16S-23S intergenic spacer region". It matches the Rfam family "Bacterial small subunit ribosomal RNA", at positions 524 to 776 of the family's 1533-position model. The record is from RNAcentral. Lineage: Bacteria; Pseudomonadati; Planctomycetota; Planctomycetia; Pirellulales; Pirellulaceae.